This is a non-coding RNA of Vicugna pacos (alpaca), 279 nucleotides long. The record is from RefSeq and is a predicted model, not a curated record. Lineage: Eukaryota; Metazoa; Chordata; Mammalia; Artiodactyla; Camelidae.
GGCCGGCCCCAGGGGAGCCCAAACCCCCGAGGGGGCAAAGCCCGCGGAGCGCUAAGUCUCGCUCCAAGGCCUUGCGCAGGCGUUGCCCUCUGUCUCAGCUCCUCCGACGGCCCGGAUCCUCCAGACCAGGUGUUCUCGGUGAGCAGCACGUAUGGACCCCAUCUGUGUCACUGUGAGUCAGCCCCUCUGUGGCCUCAUGAGAAACCAGCCCUGCCAACACCUUGAUCCUGGACUUCCAGCCUUCAGAACUGUGGGAGAGUAAAUGUCUGUGGUAUCUUG